RNAcentral lists this ribosomal RNA (377 nucleotides) under uncultured organism. RNAcentral's name for it is "partial 16S ribosomal RNA". It matches the Rfam family "Bacterial small subunit ribosomal RNA", at positions 527 to 897 of the family's 1533-position model. The record is from RNAcentral.
GUAGGUGGCAAGCGUUGUCCGGGAAUUAUUGGGGCGUAAAGCGCGCGCAGGCGGUUCUUUAAGUCUGAUGUGAAAGCCCACGGGCUCAACCGUGGGAGGGUCAUUGGAAACUGGAGAACUUGAGUACAGAGGAGGAAAGCGGAAUUCCACGUGUAGCGGUGAAAUGCGUAGAGAUGUGGAGGAACACCAGUGGCGAAGGCGGCUUUCUGGUCUGUAACUGACGCUGAGGCGCGAAAGCGUGGGGAGCAAACAGGAUUAGAUACCCUGGUAGUCCACGCCGUAAACGAUGAGUGCUAAGUGUUAGGGGGCUUCCGCCCCUUAGUGCUGCAGCUAACGCAUUAAGCACUCCGCCUGGGGAGUACGGCCGCAAAGGCUGA